RNAcentral lists this ribosomal RNA (401 nucleotides) under uncultured bacterium. RNAcentral's name for it is "bacterial SSU rRNA". It matches the Rfam family "Bacterial small subunit ribosomal RNA", at positions 358 to 774 of the family's 1533-position model. The record is from RNAcentral.
GGCAUAUUGGGCAAUGGGGGAAACCCUGACCCAGCAACGCCGCGUGAGGGAAGAAGGUUUUCGGAUCGUAAACCUCUGUCCUUGGUGAAGAGGACGAGACGGUAGCCAAGGAGGACGCCCCGGCUAACUACGUGCCAGCAGCCGCGGUAAUACGUAGGGGGCGAGCGUUGUCCGGAAUGAUUGGGCGUAAAGGGCGCGUAGGCGGCCUGUUAAGUCUGGAGUGAAAGUCCUGUUUUCAAGAUGGGAAUUGCUUUGGAUACUGAUGGGCUUGAGUGCAGGAGAGGUUAUCGGAAUUCCCGGUGUAGCGGUGAAAUGCGUAGAGAUCGGGAGGAACACCAGUGGCGAAGGCGGGUAACUGGACUGCAACUGACGCUGAGGCGCGAAAGUGUGGGGAGCAAACA